Molecule: long non-coding RNA, 498 nt
Organism: Sinocyclocheilus grahami
Lineage: Eukaryota; Metazoa; Chordata; Actinopteri; Cypriniformes; Cyprinidae
Exons: 2
Source: RefSeq, a predicted model, not a curated record
UGUGUCACUGUGCGGUUACCGAGGUGCGAGGUGUUCCGAGUGUUUUUUAGCAUGUCACUGGGCAGUUACCGAGGUGUUCCGAGUGUUUUUUAGCAUGUCACUGGGCAGUUACCGAGGUGUUCCGAGUGUUUUUUAGCAUGUCACUGGGCAGUUACCGAGGUGUUCCGAGUGUUUUUUAGCAUGUCACUGGGCAGUUACCGAGGUGUUCCGAGUGUUUUUUAGCAUGUCACUGGGCAGUUACCGAGGUGUUCCGAGUGUUUUUUAGCAUGUCACUGGGCAGUUACCGAGGUGUUCCGAGUGUUUUUUAGCAUGUCACUGGGCAGUUACCGAGGUGUUCCGAGUGUUUUUUAGCAUGUCACUGGGCAGUUACCGAGGUGUUCCGAGUGUUUUUUAGCAUGUCACUGGGCAGUUACCGAGGUGUUCCGAGUGGUUUUUAGCGUGUCACUGUGCGGUUACCGAGGUGUUCAGAGUGUUUUUUAGUGUGUCGCUGUGCGGUUA